RNAcentral lists this ribosomal RNA (460 nucleotides) under uncultured Desulfocapsa sp. Its description in RNAcentral is "bacterial SSU rRNA". It matches the Rfam family "Bacterial small subunit ribosomal RNA", at positions 920 to 1382 of the family's 1533-position model. Lineage: Bacteria; Pseudomonadati; Thermodesulfobacteriota; Desulfobulbia; Desulfobulbales; Desulfocapsaceae. The record is from RNAcentral.
CCCGCACAAGCGGUGGAGCACGUGGUUAAUUCGAAGCAACGCGAAGAACCUUACCAGGUCUUGACAUCCCGAUGCUAUUUCUAGAGAUAGAAAGUUACUUCGGUACAUCGGUGACAGGUGGUGCAUGGUUGUCGUCAGCUCGUGUCGUGAGAUGUUGGGUUAAGUCCCGCAACGAGCGCAACCCCUAUCUUUAGUUGCCAUCAUUGAGUUGGGCACUCUAAAGAGACUGCCGGUGUCAAACCGGAGGAAGGUGGGGAUGACGUCAAGUCCUCAUGGCCUUUAUGACCAGGGCUACACACGUACUACAAUGGCCGGUACAAAGGGCAGCGACACAGCGAUGUGAAGCCAAUCCCGAAAAGCCGGUCUCAGUCCGGAUUGGAGUCUGCAACUCGACUCCAUGAAGUUGGAAUCGCUAGUAAUCGCGGAUCAGCACGCCGCGGUGAAUACGUUCCCGGGCCUU